GAACUGCGAUAAGUAAUGUGAAUUGCAGAAUUCAGUGAAUCAUCGAGUCUUUGAACGCACAUUGCGCCCCCUGGCAUUCCGGGGGGCAUGCCUGUCCGAGCGUCAUUGCUGCCCUUCAAGCCCGGCUUGUGUGUUGGGUCGUCGUCCCCUCCGGGAGACGGGCCCGAAAGGCAGCGGCGGCACCGCGUCCGGUCCUCGAGCGUAUGGGGCUUUGUCACCCGCUCGAUAAGGACCGGCCGGGCGCCAGCCGGCGUCUCCAACCUUUUUUUCUCAGGUUGACCUCGGAUCAGGUAGGGAUACCCGCUGAACUUAAGC
RNAcentral lists this unclassified non-coding RNA (315 nucleotides) under plant metagenome. Its description in RNAcentral is "partial contains 5.8S ribosomal RNA, internal transcribed spacer 2, and large subunit ribosomal RNA". The stretch from base 1 to 105 matches the Rfam family "5.8S ribosomal RNA", at positions 50 to 154 of the family's 154-position model. The record is from RNAcentral.